Molecule: long non-coding RNA, 297 nt
Filed under: Manihot esculenta (cassava)
Lineage: Eukaryota; Viridiplantae; Streptophyta; Magnoliopsida; Malpighiales; Euphorbiaceae
Description: long non-coding RNA (MESC_LNC005654)
Source: RNAcentral
UCCUCCAUACCUAUUCGGUCCACUCUCCUCAAAGGAAACUGUUUUCAUGACUGCUGGGAGGAGAUUUUUCAUAUGUUUCAAAAUGUUGUUUCCCCUACAAAUCCUUCAAGGAUGAUCGUCUUUAUCUGCUGGAGUAUUUAGAAGUCAAGGAAUCAUCUUAUUUUUUGAGGACACAAUCCUACUCCAAUGUGGGUGGCAGUCUCAGCGAUCAGAAACUAUGAUGCAAUCUUUGAAGCUAAUGCUCCCCGCAAUCAGAUACUACGAUACAUUCUUUAAAGAUAAUGCUCCCCCUUGCAC